Molecule: non-coding RNA, 25 nt
Filed under: Cricetulus griseus (Chinese hamster)
Lineage: Eukaryota; Metazoa; Chordata; Mammalia; Rodentia; Cricetidae
Source: RNAcentral
GUAGACCAGGCUGGCCUAGAACGCC